UCCCACUCUUGCCGGCUCCCCUUCCUCUCCUUCCGAGAAUCUCUGUGCUGGCGUAGUCACAUGUUUAGGCUUUGAUGCCUUUAAUCCCACCCUCACCGCCCGAGAGGGAGGAGAAGAAUUUGCGGGAGAGAAGUGAGCAACAAGCGGAGCGGCAAGAUAGAGCGGAAAGGGGAGCGCGGCUGCAUGGACCGCCCGGCCCGCCGGGGGCGGAGAGCCGGCAGAAGGGGAGCGGAGGGGCCGCAUCAGCGGGGAGCGCGGCUCUGCCGCGGGCUGCGGGACGCCUCCCGGUGCGCGGGGCGAGGCUGCCGAGCAGGAAAGGUUUGGCGGCUGGCUCAGCGACAGUGCCAACAGUGCUGCUUGCAUCAAGAGGAGGCUCAAAAGUAUGCCGGUGGUCUAGAGAGGAGGAGACAUCUGAGACACACACACAUAUUACACUUGGUGUACACAUGCCCUUGGUGAAGUAA
This 464-nucleotide long non-coding RNA is filed under the name Aquila chrysaetos chrysaetos. Its description in RNAcentral is "lncRNA (ENSACCG00020015009.1)". The record is from RNAcentral. Lineage: Eukaryota; Metazoa; Chordata; Aves; Accipitriformes; Accipitridae.